UGGCUUCAUUGGGAGAAAAUUCUAAACCUCCCAGCUUUUCCUCCUCAUUUAAAAUGACAUUAAAAUCUCCCCCAAUAAUCCAAGGACAUUGCACUCUCUCCGCUAUACUCUCUAAAUCCUCCCACAACUCCAGUCUCUCUAAAGCAUUGCACCUUGCAUACACAACCGAUAUAAUAAACUCCUUAUUGUUGUGUUUGAAUUGGAUAGUAACUUGUUGAAUGGUGUCCAACAAUAUACUGCCCAUCCACUCAUCUUUCCAAAAGUACCAGAUUUUGCCAUUACAAUUUGUUGUCGCCUUGUC
This 301-nucleotide long non-coding RNA is filed under the name Solanum tuberosum (potato). Its description in RNAcentral is "long non-coding RNA (STUB_LNC004458)". Lineage: Eukaryota; Viridiplantae; Streptophyta; Magnoliopsida; Solanales; Solanaceae. The record is from RNAcentral.